Long non-coding RNA from Uloborus diversus, 2186 nucleotides. RefSeq lists it as uncharacterized. The record is from RefSeq and is a predicted model, not a curated record. The transcript has 3 exons. NCBI's taxonomy places the organism in Eukaryota, Metazoa, Arthropoda, Arachnida, Araneae, Uloboridae.
ACCAUAAUCCGUUGCUCACUCAAUUGUUUGUCUGAUGCAGCUGACACUUUUGAAUACCAGAAGUUUGUAAAACACUUCAAUCCGUCACUAAAUGUAGAUACUUUAGAGAUAAAUACGUUGGAUAUCAGCAACUUGUAAAGCACUUCAGUCUGAAGCUUUUAUUGCUGUUUUAGUGAGGGAGGUGGUACAAUAACGGGUACAAAAGUAUAAUUUUCAAGAAACAGCGCACUGUAGCUAUAAUAGUACAAUUUUCAAGGAACGAAACACUGUAGCUAUUAGUCACUUUUCUUAUAAAAAAAAAAGAAAAAGACUUGGAAAUCAGACUGUUUUAGCUUUUGUUAAUGUAAAACUAUACUGGACAUCAACGAUUAGUAAACCACUAAAAUCUGUUCACAAUUCAGCUAUUUUUGCCGUAAAAUAAAUUAGUGGAUGCUAUACGUAUUAUAUGACUUCUUAAUCCUCGUAAAGUUACUACGUGUUAUAAAAUUUUGCGAAAUAUUUUUUCACUCACCACUCACGCUUAAAUCAUACGAUUUAAAAUCCAGCAAGCAUGUAAAACCUACUAUACACCAAACCGAAACGCCAAAUUUAUUACCAAAAUCGAAAUAAAAAUAAAAGAAAGCAAGAAACGUCAGAUCGAAGGAAAUUCAAUCAUCGGAGAAGCUGCGGAAGAAAGCCGGCUCCUGGCAAGACACUUCGCGGCAGGAGUGCGCGCAAUUGCCGCAGUGAGCAACAAGUGUCUCCCGUUUGACGUUCGUUUGGAUAUCUGCUGAUGGGCAUUCGGGAAGUUUUCGUAUUCAGUCACAAGUUCUAGGGUUACAGCUCGGCUGAAAGUUAACUGGAUAUCGCCAAGGGAGAGAAGGUUCGUUUUAUUUAUUACGGAACGUUUCGUUGUCGUUCUCUCUUUCUCUCUCCGUCGUUCUGUGAGAGAAGAAUCAAUUUGUUCGCGUGUUACCUGAUAAGAUACAGAGACUUAAAAUUUAAAACGAGUACACUCGCUUGCGUUGUAUGUGUACGAUUUGUUCCUCAAAACGGGUAUCAAUGUGAAAUAGAAAAGUUAUCAUCUUGUACAAGAAAGAAUGGUUUUGUAAAGAAAGUUUUCACCUACUGAUGAGCGAUGGAAACUUCGAAAGGAAUGACAUUGAAACUAAAAAUUGCAACCCGUGUUAAGCAAAGCAUCAGUUCCUCUUGGGGACAGCCCCCUACAUGAAUGGUACAAAGCAUCCCGCCCUGGUGCUGCUUUACUUCGGGCAAGUAGUAGAGAACAUCAAACCGUCCUAGCCCGACUGAGAAGUGGACAGACACACUCGAGCACAACGACAUGUGGCUGGUAUUAAAGUUUUCCCCUUGUGCCCAAAAUGCAAUUUGACUCAGGCUGCUCCCGCCCAUAUUUUCUCUAGCAUCGGCUGUCACCUGAAUCAGCUGUAUUCUGACCCUUCUGCUGUUUUGGAGGGACUUUGUUCGCACGGCUUCAUGGACUUGGUUUGAUGUUUCUGUCUGCCAAGUGGGACAAGCAACAACAACAUACACUUUUCUUUGUAUCAUGAAUUUUUUUGGGAAUUUUUUAAAAAUUAUUUCUUUACUGUAUGGUAUUUUUAAACAACGUCUGCAGCUGUGAAGACGAAAUUGAUUGCCCAAAAGCAAAAAACGCAAGAAAGGACAAAUGAAACAACUUCGCCUGCAGUUAAAAUAAAUUAAAUUUAUGAUGUAUUUAUUCAGAACUACUCACGCAUUAAGAAUAUGUAACACAUUUCGCCAAAGCAUUGUUCCUUCUGAUAAGAAUUAAACCCCUGAUCAAAAAAAAAAAAAAAAAACUGAACACGCUGUAAUUCAUUAAGCACUUACUUCCAUCACUUUAAUUCAAAAUGUUGAUUAAAAUAAUAAAUGAUCCAUCAUGUAGGCAAAUAAAAUGUCAAGUCAGUAUUUAUAGGAUACAAAUUUUACCAAUCCAUCAUAGUGGAAAAAGUGAUGGAUAAUAUCACUAACAAUUCUUUUGAGCUAUUUAAGAUGGAAUGGUUGCUUCUUUACCAAUAAUAUAAGCAAAAUAAUGCAUGUCCACCUGUCUAUCUACUUAUCAAUCUGCAUUUCAAAUAGAACCAAGGCCAUUCAACCGGUUUUCUUGGAAUUUGGUUCAGAAAUACUUACAUUAAAGUGAUAUUUGCACUACUCACACAAAUCGCGCGCCA